Molecule: ribosomal RNA, 446 nt
Filed under: uncultured bacterium
Lineage: Bacteria
Description: SSU rRNA
Rfam family: Bacterial small subunit ribosomal RNA
Source: RNAcentral
AGAGCGAACGCUGGCGGCAGGCUUAACACAUGCAAGUCGAACGGACCUUUCGGGGUUAGUGGCGGACGGGUGAGUAACACGUGGGAACGUGCCCUUAGGUUCGGAACAACACAGGGAAACUUGUGCUAAUACCGGAUGUGCCUUUUUAGGGAAAGAUUUAUCGCCUUUGGAGCGGCCCGCGUCUGAUUAGCUUGUUGGUGGGGUAAAGGCUCACCAAGGCUACGAUCAGUAGCUGGUCUGAGAGGAUGGCCAGCCACACUGGGACUGAGACACGGCCCAGACUCCUACGGGAGGCAGCAGUGGGGAAUCUUGCGCAAUGGGCGAAAGCCUGACGCAGCCAUGCCGCGUGGAUGAUGAAGGUCUUAGGAUUGUAAAAUCCUUUCAGCGGGGACGAUAAUGACGGUACCCGCAGAAGAAGCCCCGGCUAACUUCGUGCCAGCAGCCGC